Molecule: unclassified non-coding RNA, 286 nt
Filed under: Glomeraceae sp.
Lineage: Eukaryota; Fungi; Glomeromycota; Glomeromycetes; Glomerales; Glomeraceae
Description: partial contains 5.8S ribosomal RNA and internal transcribed spacer 2
Rfam family: 5.8S ribosomal RNA (bases 1-71)
Source: RNAcentral
GUGAAUCAUCGAAUUUUUGAACGCAAAUUGCGCUUCCUAGCGUCCCGGGAAGUAUGCCUGUUUGAGGGUCAGUUUUAAUAACAAAUCGGUGUAGUUACAAAUUGGGACUGCGCCGGAGGUUGGGCUAUCUUAACAGUGUUGGGUAAGAUGCUUAAAAUUGACCUGUAUUGCGCAUUCUUAAACGUACAUAGAUGUUUUUUAUUCGUCUAUUCUUAAUGCCAAAAUCUUAUUAGAUGCGAUCACAUCGUGUGGCUUCGUGUCCAUAAAAUGUUCAUGAUUUGACCUC